AUCCGUCCAAAGGUUUUACCAAUCAACUACCUGAAAACGAGAUCCAAUUCGCUCUCGAAUCGAGCCAACGCGUCCUCUUCUGCUUUCGAGUGUGCCGCCGCGCCGCUCACCAUGCCGUUGUUCCGCGACGAGCCGUCGCGAUCGGGUGCUACUGCUAGUGCUACGCCGCCGCCGGAGUGCUCGGCGCACUCGACCUUGGUGGCCGUGGCCCGCACCCUCCUCUUGCUCCUCCGCCGCGCGCGCUGGCCCCACGACGCGACGCGCCUGCACACCCGCUCCACCACGCCGCCGUCGCGGUGGCGCCGCCACCCGGCGCUCUCGAGCGCGCCGCGCAGCUCGGACACCACCUCGUCCAUGGCCGGCCGCAGCUCCGCGCUGUCCGACACGCACCGCGCCGCCACGGCGAGGACGCGGUCCGCGCACGCCGUGGGCGGCGCGGCCACCCUGCCGUCCAGCACCUCCCGCGCGCGCCCGGCGCCGAUCAGCGGCGCGGCCCAG
RNAcentral lists this unclassified non-coding RNA (498 nucleotides) under Zea mays. RNAcentral's name for it is "misc RNA Zm00001eb333120". The record is from RNAcentral. Lineage: Eukaryota; Viridiplantae; Streptophyta; Magnoliopsida; Poales; Poaceae.